AACGAACGCUGGCGGCAUGCCUAACACAUGCAAGUCGAACGAGACCUUCGGGUCUAGUGGCGCACGGGUGCGUAACGCGGGGGAACCUGCCCUUAGGUUCGGAAUAACUCCCCGAAAGGGGUGCUAAUACCGGAAAAUGUCUUCGGACCAAAGAUUUAUCUCCCUUGGAUGGGCCCGCGUUGGAUUAGCUAGUUGGUAGGGUAAAAGCCUACCAAGGCGACGAUCCAUAGCUGGUCUGAGAGGAUGAUCAGCCACACUGGGACUGAGACACGGCCCAGACUCCUGCGCGAGGCAGCAGUGGGGAAUAUUGGACAAUGGGCGAAAGCCUGAUCCAGUUCUGCCGCGUGAGUGAUGAAGGCCUUGGGGUUGUAAAGCUCUUUUACCCGGGAUGAUAAUGACGUUACCGGGAGAAUAAGCACCGGCUAACUCCGUG
This 433-nucleotide ribosomal RNA is filed under the name uncultured bacterium. Its description in RNAcentral is "partial 16S ribosomal RNA". It matches the Rfam family "Bacterial small subunit ribosomal RNA", at positions 29 to 507 of the family's 1533-position model. The record is from RNAcentral.